UGGGGAGUACGGCCGCAAGGGUAAAACUCAAAGGAAAUGACGGGGGCCCGCACAAGCGGCGGAGCAUGCGGAUUAAUUCGAUGCAACGCGAAGAACCUUACCAAGGCUUGACAUGUUUUCGAUCGCCGUAGAGAUACGGUUUCCCCUUUGGGGCGGGUUCACAGGUGGUGCAUGGUUGUCGUCAGCUCGUGUCGUGAGAUGUUGGGUUAAGUCCCGCAACGAGCGCAACCCUCGUUCCAUGUUGCCAGCACGUAAUGGUGGGGACUCAUGGGAGACUGCCGGGGUCAACUCGGAGGAAGGUGAGGACGACGUCAAAUCAUCAUGCCCCUUAUGUCUUGGGCUUCACGCAUGCUACAAUGGCCGGUACAAUGGGUUGCGAUACUGUGAGGUGGAGCUAAUCCCAAAAAGCCGGUCUCAGUUCGGAUUGGGGUCUGCAACUCGACCCCAUGAAGUUGGAGUCGCUAGUAAUCGCAGAUCAGCAACGCUGCGGUGAAUACGUUCCCGGGCCUUGUACACACCGCCCGUCAAGUCACGAAAGUCGGUAACACCCGAAGCCGGUGGCCUAACCCUUGUGGGGGGAGCCGUCGAAGGUGGGACCAGCGAAUGGACUAAGUCG
Molecule: ribosomal RNA, 616 nt
Filed under: Micrococcus luteus
Lineage: Bacteria; Bacillati; Actinomycetota; Actinomycetes; Micrococcales; Micrococcaceae
Description: bacterial SSU rRNA
Rfam family: Bacterial small subunit ribosomal RNA
Source: RNAcentral